UCUGCUCUAGCUGGAGAAGAGUCCUGCAGGGAUCCUGGCUGGGGAAGGUGCAGGGGGCCUGGGAGACCGCCUCUCCCAGGCAGUGACACCCUCACCCUUCAGUCUUCCCCACCCACCCUCCCCUGCAGAGGGUGGCAGCCCCAGGCUCUUUGCAUAAUCCUGUGGCUUCGCUGUCUUCACCCAGCACCAGCGGACAGGGAAGGGCAGAGAAGGCCGCCAUGGCGACACUCCUCUCCCAUCUGCAGCAGCGCCCUCCCCUCUUGCGCCAGGCCAUCAAGAUAAGGCGUCGCAGAGUCAAAGAUCUGCAGGAUCCUCUGCCCCAAACGGCCCCGGAGAUCCAGCCUCCGUCCCACCACUUCUCCCCGGAGCAGGUGACCCUGUGUGUCUCAGCGGGCCCUGCUCUAUGAGGAAGCGCUCUACACGGUCCUGCACCGCCUGGGUCAGCCUGAGCCCAACCAUGUGACGGAGGCCUCUGAGCUGCUGCGAUACCU
Molecule: long non-coding RNA, 491 nt
Filed under: Aotus nancymaae (Ma's night monkey)
Lineage: Eukaryota; Metazoa; Chordata; Mammalia; Primates; Aotidae
Description: lncRNA (ENSANAG00000039387.1)
Source: RNAcentral